Molecule: long non-coding RNA, 743 nt
Organism: Salvelinus namaycush (lake trout)
Lineage: Eukaryota; Metazoa; Chordata; Actinopteri; Salmoniformes; Salmonidae
Exons: 3
Source: RefSeq, a predicted model, not a curated record
CAGCAGACUUUGUGAAAAUUAAUAUUUGUGUCAUUCUCAAAACUUUUGGCCACGAAGUGGAUUGUGCAUGGAGUCCAAGAUCAUGCAUCUCAUCAAGCUUAUCCAAAAGUGUGGGUCUGCCAUAAUCAACACCAGCAAAAUAUUAAAAGGAAGCCAAAUCAAGAUCAACUGGUAGAGCGCAUUAAAGGAUGUAUGGGAAGUUGGGAAUCUUGCCCGAAUGUUAGAAGGAUGUUACAGGCGAAUGUAGUUGCACCGUCUUCAGUGCUGUUCACUGGUAACACUUUCACAGACAUAAAUUACUAGGCUGAACUAUGUCAAAUACAGUUCCCUUCACAAACAACAUAAUUUUCAACAUACUUUUCAGUCCUCUUAUUUCCUACCCGUCACAACCCAGGAUUACAGAGACGGAAGCAGGAAAAGAUCAUUUCCACUAUGGUUCAGGAUGGAAAUGAAGUGAAGGCUGUCCACAUCUGUGGUGACGGAAGUAAUGACAGCCCUGGCUGGCUACUCCGCUAAAUUUAUGACAUAUAGCUUCAUGGAUGACAAGACCAAGAAAGUCAUUCAAGCUAAUGUGAUUUCGGUCACUGAAGCCACCAGCUCAAUUUCAAUUGAAUCAGUUGGAUUUCGGGGAGAGGACUGAACAGCAUACUGACAGAGGGUGUACCUGUAUCGUUUAUAACUACUCUUGUUCACCAGGGCUGGCACAAUUAUCGUAUAAUCGUGUAACAGACAAUUAUGGACAA